This 2861-nucleotide long non-coding RNA is filed under the name Citrus sinensis (sweet orange). RNAcentral's name for it is "long non-coding RNA (CSIN_LNC002120)". The record is from RNAcentral. Lineage: Eukaryota; Viridiplantae; Streptophyta; Magnoliopsida; Sapindales; Rutaceae.
GAUAAUUGAGUAAUGAAGUAACCUCAAUAAUGGUGACGCCAAUACCCUGAAAUUCCUUGUGGAUUUCAAGCUUGGAGGGUCUUGAAUUUUGUGUAACAGGUCGAGCAUAAACAAAAGUAUUGUGACCAGAAGAAACACUUGCUUUCACCAUAUACUUACCGAGGUAUCCAGUACCCCCAAAGAUAAGUUUCUUUGGUUUUGUGUUCUUACCUUUCAUUUCUUCCUUUCAUUUCAAUUUGUCUUUUCAUAUUCCCUUCCCUUUUUACACAUUUAUAUGUUGAAAAUGUGAGACUCGACAGUUCAUGCGGAUAUAAUUGCUGCAAACGAACGGAUAUAAUUGAAGAAACAAAUUUAUGAAUGCUAGAAAUAUCUAAGCAUCUAAUAAAUUUCUUUUAGACAGGUAGAAAUAUCUAGGCAAAAGUUGUUAAAAAUUAGCCACAACGAAAAAUGCUAAAUGUGUGGUCACCUAGUGUUUGUAAGGCCUAUAAAGACAUGGCCGUGUAUCCAAUUCAAGCAAUGAAGUUAAGAACAACAAAAUCUUCCACUAGUAAAAUCCUUUCCACUUCCCUUUAUCUUUGAUCAAAUAUUAUUGAUCAAAAAUAUUUUCUACUUUAAUUAUUUUAGCCCACUAUCUACCCCUGCUCCAACACCUGCCUUCUACUCCCUCAAUUUUUGGGAACCGAAUCUAAAAAUUUUUAUAUCAUUGAAUUUAAAGGGGGAAAGAUCAAAAUGGAAGAUCAGUAUGAUAAGUUUCUUUUGAAAAUGAAUUAUUUUUUCAAUAUUUCUUUGAUAAUGUAUCAUUCUCACUAUAAACUAUAUCGUGAUUAGUUAUGUUUUCUGCUUAUUAUUAUCAUUAUUUUAACAUCACAGCAUUUUUCUAUAGAGUAAAAAUAUAUAAAUGCUUAAAAAUAUGCAUGGAGUUCCAUGCAUGUUCUGUUAUUCUUUCUUUUGAUUUAUUGACACAAAACAAGGAUAAGACUAGUUUUGGAAAAUUAUCACUUUAUGAAUUAACUUCAUUUAAUAAGCAAAAUUAUCCUAUUGUGACAUCAUACCCAAACUGGGAUAAUUAGAUAGUUUUUAUUUCAUUUUCUUGAUUUUUUAAUUAUCUAAUAAUACUCAGACUGUGGGGUAUGGUACCCUUAGUUAAAUACUAACUUCAAACAGUUCACAUUCAAAUUAGUGAUACAUAUCUUACACAAGAAACAUAUUUGGUUAUGGUUAAAAAAUUAUAAAUGAUGAGGGUCUGCUUUGAAAUUUAACCAAAAAAAUUCACGUAUUGACCCACUAGAUUUACACUUUGGCCCAAUGGAAUAGAACAUCAUUCUGGUUCUGCUUGUAGUGAUUUUAUCCUUUUAUGACUUUAUAUAAAAGUAAAUAAUUUUAUUAAAAAAAUUAAAUAAAAAAUCAAAAUUCUUACUCUCAGAUAGCUUUACUAGUUCUUCCUCAGAAACGUGAACUCUUUUGAAACUCCAUCCAGUCUUUUGUUCCCAAAGGGAGAUCAAUUCAAGUUGUGAUAUAAUGCUUGCUUGCGGUCGAUAAAUCACAAUUCGAUUGCAUGUCCUUGGAUCAUUUAUCACUUUGAUUGUACAUUUAGCUAUAUCUUCCUCGUAAUUAAAGACAGCUGAUAUAGAUAAAUAGAUGAUAGAACAUCAAAAAGAUAUUCAAAAAAUGAACUUUUAGUGUAAAUUUUAUUUUAAUAUGCGUGGACUCCUGCAUUGGGAAAGUAUACGUACCUUUUGCUUCACCACUUCCAUAAACAACAACAUCAUCAUGUGAUUCAGAAGGACGAAGCAAGACAUUCACAAAGUAAGCACCACAGAGAUUUGCUGAGACAAAGGUGUAGGGAAUUUGAGCUGCUUCUAUUGCCCUUCUUACUAUUCUUUUUUUCUCCAAGCAAGCUUCAAAAGGGGGCAGAGGCCUCACCCUGUCCUCUUCACAUCCAAACUCAGAUGGAAGAAACCUCUAGCAACCAAAACAUAGUGUGUUUAAGAUUUGUUCUAUAUAAACAAAUUUGAAGCAAUGCAGCACUGAAUUGUAAAAAGACACUAAAAUGUUACGAAGACACAAAUACGAAAUUAAAGUUUGGGAUUUUAGGUAUUUUGCUAAUUAAGUAGCUCUCGUAUAUAUUUUUAUGUCUUUUAUAACUAACUACUAUUGCCUAGUUUAAAUCUACAUUUACAAAAUGCAAACGUCUACACUUAAAAGUUUCUAAUAUUUUUCAAUUAGCGCGAUUUAUUUUAUUUUUUAAAAAGAAAGAGCUUAAUCAAAUACCUUGAUGUUACCAGCAACUUUGAUGGCAUCAACAAUUUUCAGUUGAUCAAGAAACUGAGGAUAAGCUACAGUAGAUAUCACCACAUCUACUUCCUUAAGUAUAGAUACAAUUUUCUCGUGCUCGUCCAGCUCUCCCUGUUUUAAUUUCAACAGUAUUAUUACAAAUAAUAUCGAAGGGCUCCAAUUAGAUCAACACAAAAUUAAUCUCAUAAAAAGAAGUAUCAGAGGUUUGAGGUUCGAAUUUCGCGCGUGCAUUUAAAGGGGGAAAAAAAGAGGAAAAAAAAAAAGAAAAGAAACAAAACCAAAGGAGAUCGAGAUAAUUGAGUAAUGAAGUAACCUCAAUAAUGGUGACGCCAAUACCCUGAAAUUCCUUGUGGAUUUCAACCUUGGAGGUUCUUGAAUUUUGUGUAACAGGUCGAGCAUAAACAAAAGUUUUGUGACCAGAAGCAACACUUGCUUUCACCAUAUACUUACCGAGGUAUCCAGUACCCCCAAAGAUUAGUAUCUUUGGUUUUGUGUUCUCACCUUCCAUUUCUUCCUUUCACUUCAAUUUAUCUUUCAUCCUCCCUUCCCUUUUUACAUAUUUAUAU